RNAcentral lists this long non-coding RNA (388 nucleotides) under Rattus norvegicus (Norway rat). RNAcentral describes it as "long non-coding RNA NONRATT020006". Lineage: Eukaryota; Metazoa; Chordata; Mammalia; Rodentia; Muridae. The record is from RNAcentral.
CCUGAAGUCCUGAGUUCAAUUCCCAGCAACCAUCUGUAAGUGGAUCCCAUGCCCUCUUCUGGUGUGUCUGAAGACAGCUACAGUGUACUCACAUACAUAAAAUAAAUAUAUCUAUUAAAAAAGGUAGAAGUUUAAUGAUGGUUACCUCUGGUAAAGUGAAGCAGAUGCAGAGAGAGAACUUUUUAAAAACUUUCUGGGGGAGCUGGAGAGAUGGCUCAGCGGUUAAGAGCACUGACUGCUCUUCCAGAGGUCCUGAGUUCAAUUCCCAGCAACCACAUGGUGGCUCACAACCAUCUGUAAUGGGGUCUGGAUGCCUUCUUGUGUUGUGUCUAAAGACAGCUACAGUGUACUCAUAGACAUAAAAUAAAUAAAUCUUUAAAAAAAAAAA